This 72-nucleotide transfer RNA is filed under the name Chloroflexota bacterium. Its description in RNAcentral is "tRNA-Met". It matches the Rfam family "tRNA". From Rfam's summary of the family: Transfer RNA (tRNA) molecules are approximately 80 nucleotides in length. Their secondary structure includes four short double-helical elements and three loops (D, anti-codon, and T loops). Lineage: Bacteria; Bacillati; Chloroflexota. The record is from RNAcentral.
CGCGGGGUAGAGCAGCGGUAGCUCGUCGGGCUCAUAACCCGGAGGUCGCAGGUUCGAAUCCUGCCCCCGCAA